RNAcentral lists this ribosomal RNA (429 nucleotides) under Actinomycetes bacterium. RNAcentral's name for it is "Actinobacteria bacterium partial 16S ribosomal RNA". It matches the Rfam family "Bacterial small subunit ribosomal RNA", at positions 355 to 776 of the family's 1533-position model. The record is from RNAcentral. Lineage: Bacteria; Bacillati; Actinomycetota; Actinomycetes.
UAGGGAAUCUUCCGCAAUGGGCGAAAGCUUGACGGAGCAACGCCGCGUGAGUGAUGAAGGUCUUCGGAUCGUAAAACUCUGUUAUUAGGGAAGAACAAAUGUGUAAGUAACUAUGCACGUCUUGACGGUACCUAAUCAGAAAGCCACGGCUAACUACGUGCCAGCAGCCGCGGUAAUACGUAGGUGGCAAGCGUUAUCCGGAAUUAUUGGGCGUAAAGCGCGCGUAGGCGGUUUUUUAAGUCUGAUGUGAAAGCCCACGGGUCAACCGUGGAGGGUCAUUGGAAACUGGAAAACUUGAGUGCAGAAGAGGAAAGUGGAAUACCAUGUGUAGCGGUGAAAUGCGCAGAGAUAUGGAGGAACACCAGUGGCGAAGGCGACUUUCUGGUCUGUAACUGACGCUGAUGUGCGAAAGCGUGGGGAUCAAACAGG